RNAcentral lists this ribosomal RNA (465 nucleotides) under uncultured bacterium. RNAcentral describes it as "partial 16S ribosomal RNA". It matches the Rfam family "Bacterial small subunit ribosomal RNA", at positions 28 to 507 of the family's 1533-position model. The record is from RNAcentral.
GACGAACGCUGGCGGCGUGCUUAACACAUGCAAGUCGAACGGAAAGGCCCUGCUUGCCGGGUACUCGAGUGGCGAACGGGUGAGUAACACGUGGGUGAUCUGCCCUGCACUUCGGGAUAAGCCUGGGAAACUGGGUCUAAUACCGGAUAGGAGCCAUUUUUAGUGUGAUGGUUGGAAAGUUUUUUCGGUGUAGGAUGAGCUCGCGGCCUAUCAGCUUGUUGGUGGGGUAAUGGCCUACCAAGGCGGCGACGGGUAGCCGGCCUGAGAGGGUGGACGGCCACAUUGGGACUGAGAUACGGCCCAGACUCCGACGGGAGGCAGCAGUGGGGAAUAUUGCACAAGGGGCGCAAGCCUGAUGCAGCGACGCCGCGUGGGGGAUGACGGCCUUCGGGUUGUAAACUCCUUUCGCUAGGGACGAAGCUUUUUGUGACGGUACCUAGAUAAGAAGCACCGGCUAACUACGUG